This 105-nucleotide ribosomal RNA is filed under the name Chrysemys picta bellii (western painted turtle). Lineage: Eukaryota; Metazoa; Chordata; Testudines; Emydidae. The record is from RNAcentral.
UCCUGCAACCAUUGUCCCUUAUGCUAUAAGCAUGGGCUAAGCAGGGAAAAAGAAGUGUCAUACUUGGAUGGGAGACCUUUAAGGAACUACUAGGUGCUGCAGGAA